RNAcentral lists this long non-coding RNA (289 nucleotides) under Fukomys damarensis (Damara mole-rat). RNAcentral describes it as "lncRNA (ENSFDAG00000031756.1)". The record is from RNAcentral. Lineage: Eukaryota; Metazoa; Chordata; Mammalia; Rodentia; Bathyergidae.
GUGUAGGUCAUCACUCCAACCACUGUUAACCCUACUGGUGAAAGGGAGUUGUGCAAAGCAGUGUCCGCAGUACAGAACUGGGAUGAAGAAGAGAUGAGUCAGGAGUUUUCACACACAAAAAGUCUCAAACUGCUGCUUAAGAAGGGAAAUGACGAAGCCAUCCUUGUGAGAGAGAUUGCAUAUGGAUCAGUUUACCUAUGAAAAUAUCAGGAGCAUCUUUUAAUGGAAAAAGAACUUAAGAGAUUUGGACUUUAGGAGGUAAUUAUUGAUAAUCUACCUUGAUGUUUAA